GCCAACAAGAUGAUUGGCGAAACGUCAGCAAGUUCGACUCAGCAGAAAACCGACGCAGGAGGAAUCCAGAAGUUUUGUAAAAAGUAUUACAGUAGUCUGUGGAAGUUUCUUUGAAAAAAAACUAUGUGCAAUUGUUCGAUAAUAAAAAUACAAAUGUACACCAAUUUCGGGGGAACUUUUACGUGAGAAGGCUAAGUUUGUGGAAAGUUUGCUGGUUUAAUGAAAGAAAAAAACCUAACUCCGCAUCAAGUAUAUAAUACUGACAAAAGUGGGCUUUUAUGGAGAAUUUUUCCCAACAAAACAUUAGCACAUUCAGAAGAAAAUUUUGCUCCAGUGCGAAAAGUAAAAAUAGGACAAAGGUCAACGCACGGCUUGGGUAACAAGAGAAAUUUUCACUGAGUGGUUUCACAGUGAAUUAGUUCCAUCAGUAAGACGCAAGUCCGAGGGCAAUUCUAGUCUUCGAUAAUGCACCUGGACAUCCUACUCAAUUGUACAGCGAUUAUAAUCAAAUUUCUGUGCAUUUCCUUCCCCCAAAUUGUACACCAUUGAUAUAGCCAACACGUUACACAGGCUAUAAAAAUAUUUUAUCGUAAGAAGUUGCUCCAAGAAAUUGUUGAUUGAAGGAUAUAACACUGAUUGUUUUCUCUUUGAACGAGGCUUGGUAAAAUGUGGGCACUGGCUUAAUUACAAAAUCUUUGAGUAAAAUUUUACCUCCAAAUGUUGAUGAUAGUGAUGAAGAAGGGGACAUUCCGUUAGCGUGCUUAGUAAGACAAAUUCGAGAUUCAGAAUCCAAGGAUUCAAAAUGACCUGGAAAAGAUUGAGGGAUUAGGUAAGAAACUUGACUACAGCUUAACGAAUAAAGAGAUGGAAACAUGGGUAUCAAUGAUAAAGCAAUCAGCGACGUAUUCUGGCUGUGAAUCUGAUGAGAAUUACGACGAUAUUUCCGAACCUCCGUAUUUCGUGCAAAAUGCAUGGAAUCGUGUUCUUGCAGGAAUUAAGAAAUAAAGCUCAAGAUGCAGUGUUUAAAAAUAAGAAACAAACAAAAAUUACAAAUUUCUUUACAGUUGUGGGCAAAAUAAAAAACAACACAAUGAUUUAAUUUACAAAACUUUGGUAUUCCUCCUGCAUCGGUUGGUGUUGAAUCAAACUUGCUAACUUUUUGUCAAUCAUCCUGUUGGCUUCUUCAGAGCGUAACUGAAACUGGUAAGCAUUACUAGUCUGUACCCAGAAUUAAAACACAUCUGCUCUUCUCCCUAAUAAUUUCCACAUUAGAGAUAUUAGGCGUCCCAUCAAAAAAUACACUUUAAAACAACCUUCCAAAGACAAAGAGUCCAAAAGCAAUCCCACAUCUGCCACUGUUGUCCUACCUCACAUUCAAACCACCACUGGCCUCAUAUCAAAAGUACUUAAGCAAUAUAACCAGACGUUUACAGCAUUCCAUGCAUAUGAGGCAAAGAAAAAUAUCAAAUAGACUCAAAAAACAUGAAAGGGCCUAAGACUAAGACAAAUAAACACAUCAGCAGUUGCCGAACACAAUCACGAAACCGGAUAAAAAAUUCGAUAAAACUAAAAUUCUUGCAUGUAAUCAAAUAUUCUGAGAAUCUAUACAAACCUAUAUGCAACCAAACAAUCUUAACCGCGACGCAGGUCUUUACCUGUCACCAAUAUGGGAAUCAGUAAUCCGAGACGAUGUUUAUGUCCCUCAUUUAGCUCCGCCCCCCUCAAACAAUAGGUACAGAGUCAAAUACGAGUAAAAAACGUCAGCAAGUUCGACUCCGCAAAAACCGACGAAGGUGGAAUCCAGAAGUUUUGCAAACAGGAAAUAUUUAUAUUUAAAUAUAUCAAAUACAAAUAUCCCUUCCCUAUAUUCUAAUAUGCCCCGCGAUCGUAACUUUGCAAAAAAAACCUGGCUUGGUAGUGAAUCUCAGAAGAAAUCCUUUUCUAUUGCCUCCCUCCACCAUGUCGCGAUUUCUUUUGCCCGUGAAAUAGUUUGCAGGCAAUUUAUAAACUCGCCAGUAGCAGACACUGAGAAAUACCAAGAUAGAAAUAACGUAAUUGUACAAAAAAGUCUAUACCGAGAAGAAACCAAUUUCCAAGAAAAAAGUGAUCGACAUACUAAUUUGUGUUUUGGUUAGUUUUGGUUACCUAGUUUAGUUUUUGUGAAAAAAAAUGCGAUUUCAUUAGAAAAAAAUCUUAAUUUUAGUACAGGAAGUAGAUAUCUCCGUCUGCCAAUUUUGACAGUCAACCAAUUAAAGAACAAAAUAAAAUCCAAAAUUGCUUGUUGGUUUAUAAAACGUAUUAUGAAGAACACACUGCAAAAAAAAUUAAUUUAACUACCUGCUCUUUAAAAAUAACAUUUUUCAUUUUCUGAACAUUUUUAAAAUGCGACAUGUCCCCUUUCUACACUUAGCAAUUCAUAUAAGAAUUAAUAAAAUUUUCAAAAUAUAAUCUAAAUUUAGCGAUUGCAAUUUUAUACAAAAGCGACUGGGAAAGAAUGUUGAACGUUGUUGUCACAUCAGUUAUGAACUGAUACCCUCAAGUUCAAUAACAUCAACUACACGAAUUUGUUUACGGUUUAUUUUGAUUUAUUUCAAUAAUAAAAUUGUUACGACGUUAUUGAUAACUAGCUAAUAUUUUGAACUGCCGAUAAAAUCAACUAAAUAAACGAUUCAACUUAUUUAUUGCGUUUCUGCGAAUAUCGACAUUUGUUAAAGCUGUUAAAGCGAAUGAAUUGUUAAUCACAAAACAACACGUUCUUCAAAUGUUAUUUAUUAAAUCUCUGACAAACGGGAAAGCUUAUAAAGUUUCAGUAGUAUGAGGUAUUAGCUAACCUAAUGAAAUUGAAUCAUUUUUGCACUAGGUGGUCAUUUUUUCAAGUUUCUAUUUUAGCUCAAAUAGAA
Molecule: long non-coding RNA, 2900 nt
Organism: Cylas formicarius (sweet potato weevil)
Lineage: Eukaryota; Metazoa; Arthropoda; Insecta; Coleoptera; Brentidae
Exons: 3
Source: RefSeq, a predicted model, not a curated record